This 30-nucleotide non-coding RNA is filed under the name Rattus norvegicus (Norway rat). The record is from RNAcentral. Lineage: Eukaryota; Metazoa; Chordata; Mammalia; Rodentia; Muridae.
UAGGAAGGUGCACAUGUAUAAGUAGUUGGC